Molecule: ribosomal RNA, 550 nt
Filed under: Candida tropicalis
Lineage: Eukaryota; Fungi; Ascomycota; Pichiomycetes; Serinales; Debaryomycetaceae
Description: partial large subunit ribosomal RNA
Rfam family: Eukaryotic large subunit ribosomal RNA
Source: RNAcentral
GAGUGAAGCGGCAAAAGCUCAAAUUUGAAAUCUGGCUCUUUCAGAGUCCGAGUUGUAAUUUGAAGAAGGUAUCUUUGGGUCUGGCUCUUGUCUAUGUUUCUUGGAACAGAACGUCACAGAGGGUGCGAAUCCCGUGCGAUGAGAUGAUCCAGGCCUAUGUAAAGUUCCUUCGAAGAGUCGAGUUGUUUGGGAAUGCAGCUCUAAGUGGGUGGUAAAUUCCAUCUAAAGCUAAAUAUUGGCGAGAGACCGAUAGCGAACAAGUACAGUGAUGGAAAGAUGAAAAGAACUUUGAAAAGAGAGUGAAAAAGUACGUGAAAUUGUUGAAAGGGAAGGGCUUGAGAUCAGACUUGGUAUUUUGUAUGUUACUUCUUCGGGGGUGGCCUCUACAGUUUAUCGGGCCAGCAUCAGUUUGGGCGGUAGGAGAAUUGCGUUGGAAUGUGGCACGGCUUCGGUUGUGUGUUAUAGCCUUCGUCGAUACUGCCAGCCUAGACUGAGGACUGCGGUUUAUACCUAGGGAUGUUGGCAUAAUGAUCUUAAGUCGCCCGUCUGA